GAUGAAGAACGUAGCGAAAUGCGAUAAGUAAUGUGAAUUGCAGAAUUCAGUGAAUCAUCGAAUCUUUGAACGCACGUUGCGCCCCCUGGUAUUCCGGGGGGCAUGCCUGUUCGAGCGUCAUUACAACCCUCAAGCUCUGCUUGGUGUUGGGCCCCGCCGCCCCGGCGGGCCCUAAAGUCAGUGGCGGUGCCAUCCGGCUCCGAGCGUAGUAAUUCUUCUCGCUCUGGAGGCCCGGGUGUGUGCUCGCCAGCAACCCCCAAUUUUUUUCAGGUUGACCUCGGAUCAGGUAGGGAUACCCGCUGAACUUAAGCAUAUCAAUAGGCGGAGGA
Molecule: unclassified non-coding RNA, 329 nt
Filed under: soil metagenome
Description: partial contains 5.8S ribosomal RNA, internal transcribed spacer 2, and large subunit ribosomal RNA
Rfam family: 5.8S ribosomal RNA (bases 1-120)
Source: RNAcentral